UUUUUUUUUUUAAGUACCGGUAGAAACCGAGAAGCCUUUAUAAAUAUGAAACAAUUUUUAGUUUACAUUAUUAAAGUGCCAGACUUUUUAUUUCUACAUUCCAAGUUUGAUGGUCUGUCUUACAAUGCAUUAACAGAUUAAAGCUAGUUUCACUGACAGUGGAAAUUGAAGUACAGGAGACUCCAAUAGGCACUUAGCAAGCAAACAAAUAUUUACCCAAAAUGUUUUUUUUGUUUGUUUGUUUCCAGAUAAACCAGGUACAGUACUACUAGUUGAUUUUCUCCAGAAUGGCAUACCGGUGUCUUUUAAAAUGAUCUACAAUGGCAGAUCUAAGUACUACUGUACCCACCGUCACACAAUUGGAAACACGGGAGAAAGAAGUCUGAAUUCCAGCAGGUUUUCAAUUUGAAGGUUGACUCUGUUUAGGCCACGAUUUAGACACAGAAGGUGCAGAAUCAAAAACAGUAGAGUAAUUCAACUGUAAAUCUUUCGCUUCCCAUUAUACAGUGGGUGGGCGGAUUUAGAUGGCCUAUUACAUGCUGUGAAUUAUUUGAAGGGAGUGUUGAAGAGGAUAUUUAUGUAAUGUAACAAUGCUGAAGGUUUUAAUGUGAUUGGAUAGAGGAUUAUUUCUUUGAUCUGUUGACACUAAUAUGGAUGAUGUAGUUCAGGUACUGCUCAUAAAUGACCCUGGGGGAGGGGGGUGUCUUUCUGGCUUUCUCAUAAAUUGUAGGUCUCAGCUGUCUCUUCUAGAGCACUGUUUUUUUUUUUUGUUUUUUUUGGAAGUAUUGCAGGAGGCAUACUUUGUUUUUUGGUUGACACACAAUACAUCAUUCAAACAACAGCCAAAUCUUAGAAGUUAUCUUAUCUAACCACUCUCUCAUAAAAAACAGCUCAGCAUCAUCUCUCAAAUCCUCAUAAUACCCUGUUUUUGUUAUUUUUGGCUAUUAGUAUAUUAAAUGUGUUUGGGUUUCUGCAGAGAGGUAUUCUAGUGGGAGUUUCCAUGGUUAAAAUAAUACCCUGGGCUUGUCCUUUUGCACUGACUAUUAAUAAGAAGUCAUGUUUGGAGUGUUUACAUAAGAAAUCUAGUUUAAUUUCGCUAGGCAAGUUUGUAUUUGUAAAUGAUGAAGUCAUUCUAACAGAGCAACUGCCUGUACAUCACAUAAUACUGUAGAUCUGUUAGAUGUAAAGCUGCAUUAACAGUUUAUAAAAUGGCCAAUUGAUUAUCCCACUAUACGCAUACAUUGCAUUUAAAGUGAGCCGUGUUAGUGCUGACACCUGAGGAUGAAUGGCAGCUGAAGAGCAGGUGUUUGAAUUUGUGGUGAUUUGUAUAGAGAGGAGCUAAGCAAAGCUGUUACAUUUUCGUGAGUUUGUGUUUUUUCAAAAUUACUGUUAAGUUUAAUAAAAAAAAAAAAGAUGGAUUUCAGUGUUCUGUAUUCCUCUGUAAUUUUCAGUUGAUCUAAUAUUUAUUAGUUGGAGGAUUUUUUUUAAUGAGAUAUUUUGCAGUAAGUCAUAAAUGUGUGUGGAUUGUUGCCUGGCAACAUCAAAAGUAUUGGAAAAAGGUGAACGUUGUGUUACACAAAAACAAGAUCGACCUCCAGCAUGCUCCUGCCAGGUGAUAACUAUGCACAAGGUACUGAAAUUAACAAUAUGCUAAUUUUGUAAACUGAUUGCUGUGCCUGGAGUUGAGAUUGAAAUCUUGCCACUCUUAAUGAAAAAUACAUUGGUCUUAGUGGGCACCCAUCCUGGUAAAAACAUGUAAAAGAACCGAGCCACCUUGAUGGUGUUGCUUGCUGCUUUUCAUUAUUGUCUUUCCCAGUCCAGUCUUUCAUUACAUAAAUGUUAAUUUGAUGCCCCACCUCCACAUUCCCUUUUCUUGAAGCACCUCUUUUUAUACCAUAAGUAGCCUUUUGCUGUGGUUUACUAAGAAACCCUGCUUCUAGGUUUGAGAUGAAUGGGAAUGAAAUGGUGUGGACAACAAAGGGGUCAGCCUUUAUCUGCAUUGCUUGCACCUCUCCUGCUGAGAUGCUUCCUAAGAAGUGAGGAUGUGAACAUUCCCUCAGUGUUUGGAGGGUUAGGUCUUUUCACACGCACACACUCAGACCCUCACUCACUCACUCACACAAGCACAAUGUGGUGGCCUGUCAAAGCACUCAUUUGCAUUUGACCCAUUAUCUUCUUCUUCCUCUAGGUGAACUCUAUUCAGAACCAAAUGCAAUCUAAGGGAGGUUACGGAGGUGAUGCCAUACCAGUAAAUGUUCAGCUUAUAGAUACAAAAGCGGGAUAGCGUACGAGUUUGUUUGUUUGGUUCCUUCUGUGUGUGUCCUUCAUUGUCUCUCUUUUGCCUUUGGUGACUGCUUUUCAUGUUCCUCCUAAUGAGAAAGAAGUGAUGGUCUGUCAUUCAUCCUUCAUCCCUGUGACUGGUUCUUCAAUGCAAAAAAUACAUGACAGUUUGCUGUUCUGCUCUGAAGAUGUUGUUCUGUUGGAACAGUUCUGCCCUGCCUUUAAGCAGCUCUCACAGGCUUGCCCGAAUAGAUAUGGACAGUAUACUUCUCCCCCUAAAUCUAAACUACUACAGAUGUUAGCAUGACCUUCUUUUCCUGCAAGUGCCAGUGCUAAGUGUUGCUGUGCUUUUCCUUUUUUGUACUUUGCUAUGAGCAUUUCUGUUCUCUGUGUUUUAAAGUUGUUAAUGUUUGAAGGUCUGGAACCAGCAAACACAAUGAUUUUUUUUUUUUUUUAUUAUUAUUUUUUAUUUUUUAAGUAUUGUUUCUCUCUUUUUUUUUUGCGCUCCCUGUUUGGCUGUCAGCAUAGUAGUUGACCGCGUAUUUGUGAGGUAGCUUUGUAUGGUGGCCUGUUGGUGCGGAAUGAAGAUACUGUUGCUGACAAGAAAUUAGCUCUAAUAUUGGCACGAUUUGAUGCCAUUCUAUAGGAAAUAGAAUUAUAACUUAGCUGCUUAACAUUUGUUCUCUGCUCAGUUUGUUUUAUUUUAAUGAACUGGUCUCAAAAUAAAAUAACUGGCAUUGAAAUUGUAUUCUGCUGUAAAUGUUCAGUAUACUUGAUUUUAAAGAAUCUGACUUUUGAGUAUGCAACAAGUAUAUAGUUAUGUGUAUAAUAUAGUGAUGUUAUAGUGCUCAGUACUGAUGUGAAAACAAUAUAUGACAUUAAGUCUUGCAGUCUUCUGCAGAAAGAGUCUGCCUGCAUUAUUAACUUUACACUUCUUUUUUGAAUAAACCUUUCAAAGUAAAUGUCAGCUUUUGUGUACUAAAUAUUUGGGGUCCGUGCAGGUUGCCAUGGGCAACAUUUUGAGCUAUCUGAACAAAUGCCAGUACAAAUACCAUCAACAAACAGGGUGACUUAUUACUAUGUUACUUAAGGAUGUUUUGCUCAGGUUAAAAGGCAUAUUCUGACUUCUAUAAGAGUUGUGUACAUUGUAUAAUAAUAUUGCACUGUUUUCUAAUGUUAGUGUAAAGUGUAUAUCUAGAAGAAUAUAAAAACACAAAUGAAAUCUGUACAAUAAGGUUGCUCACUGGUUAGCUACAAGCCUUUUUCCAAACACUUAACAUGUUGCAAAAACAAUGCAAAUCAUGAAUAAUUAAGCUGUAUAAUUGUUUGAGGUACUGUGUAUAAGCUCACUUAAAAAAAACAAAAAAAAACACAAAACUCAAGAACUGGCUUUCAUUGUAUGGUAAUCUGAAGAAAUUGGUAUACUAGUGAUUGCAUUUAAUUAAAAAAAAAAUCUUCAUCUGCCAAAUUGUCUUGAUUUUGUCUUGACAGGCUUUCCAACUUGCAUUUCCUGUUUACUCCAAUCCAUAGAUACUUAUUUAGUGGGGUUUGUGCUGUGUUACAUGGGGCUUGCUUUUUUCCUGAAUGAAGUCUGGAUAAUGCCACCACUCCUGAUUAAUCACAUUUAAGAAAAAAGUCAAUGACCAAAAAAUAUGUGUUAUGAAAAAAAUGAAAAUAAAACAACAACAACACUUUUGUAUCCAAUCUUCUAACCCCUGAUGCCAUGUGGCUCUAAGGUGCUACUGUAUAUGUGUAAAUAGUGUAUUCUGUGCAUGUUGCUCCCUGUGGUCAUUUUAUUUAUUUGUUUGUUACUGCCUGUUUUCAAAUGUUGCAUGGCAAGCCGCAGAUCUGGUCUGUCAGUGUUUCAGCACUGAUUGGUUAUGUGUCUCGCUCUUGGGCCACAUGGCAGGGACAAACAUUCAUUUCCUCUGUGUUUGCACGUGUGGUAUUAUUUCUGAAGCCCCACUAUGAAAGCACCUGGUGCAUUUUGUCAUUGUGAUUAAAUUAUCCAAAUGUGGACAAGAUAUUUUAAAUAAUAAAAUAUGUAACAAAGCCCUUUAGGAAAAAGCUCUUUAAUAAAUUGAUGGUUAUUUUAAGCACGAUAAUUAUGAGUUUUAUGUGGACUGGUGUUUGCAAUAAAGUGUAAACAUUGAGAGAUAUAUGGUGACACCAUUGUCAACCUUAUGGUGAAAUCAUUAUUCUUUCUACCAUAUUGAUAUGGUAGUGACUAUUUCUGUCUUGUGACUCAAUAGCAAGGAAAAGGAGAAUACACUUGCAUAUUUUUUUAUGAUGCAUAUA
Long non-coding RNA from Polyodon spathula (Mississippi paddlefish), 4578 nucleotides. RefSeq lists it as uncharacterized. The transcript is spliced from 2 exons. The record is from RefSeq and is a predicted model, not a curated record. NCBI's taxonomy places the organism in Eukaryota, Metazoa, Chordata, Actinopteri, Acipenseriformes, Polyodontidae.